This 76-nucleotide transfer RNA is filed under the name Shewanella sp. YLB-07. RNAcentral's name for it is "tRNA-Ile". It matches the Rfam family "tRNA". From Rfam's summary of the family: Transfer RNA (tRNA) molecules are approximately 80 nucleotides in length. The record is from RNAcentral. Lineage: Bacteria; Pseudomonadati; Pseudomonadota; Gammaproteobacteria; Alteromonadales; Shewanellaceae.
AGGUCUAUAGCUCAGUUGGUAGAGCGUCAUUUACUUAUGUUAAUGAAGGUCGUCGGUUCAAAUCCGGCUAGGCAAA